GGUGGCCCAUAGCUCAGUGGUAAAGCAUCGGCCUUAAGUGCCGAAGGUCCCAGGUUCAAUCCCUGGCAGCAUCU
Hemicordylus capensis (graceful crag lizard) is the source of this 74-nucleotide non-coding RNA. The record is from the annotation of a RefSeq genome assembly. NCBI's taxonomy places the organism in Eukaryota, Metazoa, Chordata, Lepidosauria, Squamata, Cordylidae.